This 490-nucleotide ribosomal RNA is filed under the name uncultured bacterium. RNAcentral's name for it is "partial 16S ribosomal RNA". It matches the Rfam family "Bacterial small subunit ribosomal RNA", at positions 29 to 507 of the family's 1533-position model. The record is from RNAcentral.
AGUGAACGCUGGCGGUAGGCCUAACACAUGCAAGUCGAACGGCAGCACAGGAGAGCUUGCUCUCUGGGUGGCGAGUGGCGGACGGGUGAGGAAUACAGCGGAAUCUGCCCAGUCGUGGGGGAUAACGUAGGGAAACUUACGCUAAUACCGCAUACGACCUUCGGGUGAAAGAGGGGGAUCGCAAGACCUCUCGCGAUUGGAUGAGCCGAUGUCGGAUUAGCUAGUUGGCGGGGUAAUGGCCCACCAAGGCGACGAUCCGUAGCUGGUCUGAGAGGAUGAUCAGCCACACUGGAAAUGAGACACGGUCCAGACUCCUACGGGAGGCAGCAGUGGGGAAUAUUGGACAAUGGGCGCAAGCCUGAUCCAGCCAUACCGCGUGGGUGAAGAAGGCCUUCGGGUUGUAAAGCCCUUUUGUUGGGAAAGAAAUCUUUCAGGCUAAUACCCUGGGAGGAUGUCGGUACCCAAAGAAUAAGCACCGGCUAACUUCGUG